UCUUCUUCUUCUUCUUCUUCUUCUUCUUCUUCUUCUUCUUCUUCUUCUUCUUCUUCUUCUUCUUCUUCUCCUUCAUAUUAAUAUAAAAUAAUUUUACAGAUAAUAAUAAUAAUUUCAAUUAGAACAAAUGUAAAUCCCAGUAUCUUUCUGCUAGGCUUCACCCUGCUGAGACUGGCUCUCAGCAGCUUUGAUUAAGCAGAAAAUAUUCUGCAGUGAGAGGCUCAAAACCAUUUCAAUGGCCCCCAGGUGGCACAAGGCACAUCCAUCUCCUGCAGCAUCUGCUGAAGUUGCCUUCCAAAGGUCUACAGCCCUGCCAGUGCCUCAGUGGUCAAAGAGCUGAGACACCAACAGGGCUCUUUGCUGGUGUUCGCAGCCCCAACACACCAUUCCCGACAUCUUCAUCUGGAUGAUGAGCAACAACAAACGCAUUGCCUACGCCCGCGUCCCUUCCAAGGACAUCCUCUACUCCAUCGUGGACGAGGAGAUGGGCAAGGACUGCGCCAAAGUGAAGACCGUCUUCCUCAAGGUGCCUGCCCGUCUUCCCUGGGGAACAUCAGCCAGGAGGAGGGAGAUGGAGAGGGGGCAAACUGGGAGGAUGGGAGAUGGAGAAGGAGCAAACUGGGAGGAUGGGAGAUGGAGAAGGGGCAAACUGGGAGGAUGGGAGAUGGAGAUGAGGGAGCUGGGUAUCCGUUUUUGCUGGUGAUUGAAUACUAGGCACAACAGAUCCAUUAGUGAUGGUGGAAAUGUGCUGCUAGGAUGUGUAAACCACUGGUUUUACAUAGUCUGGUGGGUGAGAAAUGUCUGUAAGGAGAGAGAUGUUCGAUCCAGCUGGCCAGGAAAGGGAAAUUUGUCUUGGAAAGAGGAAGCCAACGUGGUAGGAAGAAGAUAAAACAUGAGACAGAGUAGUGGGCAUGAUCCCAAUUGAUGAGGGCUACAUCCCUGGGUGUAAGUGGGGUACUCCCCACUGGAAGGGGAGUACAGCAAGAGGUGGUCCGUCCAACUUUAUGGCCUCCCUUAUUUCCACCUAAACUCCUCUGCCCUUUAUGCCCAGCUACCUGGGAAGAGGGGUUUUGGACCUGCCGGCUGGACGGUUCAGGCCAAGAUGGAGAUUUACUUGUGGCUGGGCCUCAACAAGCAGCGCAAAGACUUCCUGAGCGGCCUGCCCUGUGGCUUCGAGGAGAAGAAGAUCGCCAGAGGCCAAAACCUGCCGUCCUUCCCACCCAUCAGCCUCCUUUACACCAAGAAGCAGGUUUUCCAGCUGCGAGCCCACAUGUACCAGGCCAGGAGUUUGUUUGCUGCCGACAGCAGCGGCCUUUCGGACCCCUUUGCCCGAGUCUUCUUCACCUCCCAGAGCCAAUGCACCGAGGUGAGCACCGUCUCCUGACCUGGAGGGCUGCAAGUGGGAAUAAUUCGUGGCUGCUUUCCUGUUCUUGUGGCUUUUUGUUUCUGGGAAGAGUCCCUGGGAGAUGCCCCAUGGCUUGCUGACCCCAAAAAAACAUUCAUGCAGCCAGGUGCUGGAGCUGCAGCCUGAGAUGUGGCUGAGACAGGACAGGGCUGUGCUUAUUCUCCUAAACCCAUCCCCAUGGCUUACCCUGGUGCAGGAGAGCUGAGACCAACA
Molecule: long non-coding RNA, 1618 nt
Filed under: Anas platyrhynchos platyrhynchos (common mallard)
Lineage: Eukaryota; Metazoa; Chordata; Aves; Anseriformes; Anatidae
Description: lncRNA (ENSAPLG00000028812.1)
Source: RNAcentral